UUGGGAAUAUUGCGCAAUGGACGAAAGUCUGACGCAGCGACACCGCGUGUAGGAAGACGCCUUUCGGGGUGUAAACUACUUUUAUCUGGGAGAAUUAUGAUAGUACCAGAUGAAUAAGUGACGGCAAACUACGUGCCAGAAGCCUCGGUGAUACGUAGGUCACAAGCGUUAUCCGGAAUUAUUGGGCGUAAAGCGUGCGCAGGUGGUUACAUAAGUUUCUUGUUAAAUAUCUGGGCUCAACCCAGGGAUUGCAGGAAAGACUGUGAAACUAGAGGUCAGUAGAGGUGUGUGGAACUCUCGGUGUAGGAGUGAAAUCCGUUGAUAUCGAGGGGAACACCAAUGGCGAAGGCAGCACACUAGACUGAUUCUGACACUCAGGCACGAAAGCGUGGGUAGCGAAAAGG
Molecule: ribosomal RNA, 404 nt
Filed under: uncultured bacterium
Lineage: Bacteria
Description: bacterial SSU rRNA
Rfam family: Bacterial small subunit ribosomal RNA
Source: RNAcentral